RNAcentral lists this ribosomal RNA (863 nucleotides) under Streptomyces sp. MIDE04. RNAcentral's name for it is "bacterial SSU rRNA". It matches the Rfam family "Bacterial small subunit ribosomal RNA", at positions 105 to 985 of the family's 1533-position model. Lineage: Bacteria; Bacillati; Actinomycetota; Actinomycetes; Kitasatosporales; Streptomycetaceae. The record is from RNAcentral.
GGUGAGUAACACGUGGGCAAUCUGCCCUUCACUCUGGGACAAGCCCUGGAAACGGGGUCUAAUACCGGAUAACACUCCUGCCUGCAUGGGUGGGGGUUAAAAGCUCCGGCGGUGAAGGAUGAGCCCGCGGCCUAUCAGCUUGUUGGUGGGGUAAUGGCCCACCAAGGCGACGACGGGUAGCCGGCCUGAGAGGGCGACCGGCCACACUGGGACUGAGACACGGCCCAGACUCCUACGGGAGGCAGCAGUGGGGAAUAUUGCACAAUGGGCGAAAGCCUGAUGCAGCGACGCCGCGUGAGGGAUGACGGCCUUCGGGUUGUAAACCUCUUUCAGCAGGGAAGAAGCGAAAGUGACGGUACCUGCAGAAGAAGCGCCGGCUAACUACGUGCCAGCAGCCGCGGUAAUACGUAGGGCGCAAGCGUUGUCCGGAAUUAUUGGGCGUAAAGAGCUCGUAGGCGGCUUGUCACGUCGGAUGUGAAAGCCCGAGGCUUAACCUCGGGUCUGCAUUCGAUACGGGCUAGCUAGAGUGUGGUAGGGGAGAUCGGAAUUCCUGGUGUAGCGGUGAAAUGCGCAGAUAUCAGGAGGAACACCGGUGGCGAAGGCGGAUCUCUGGGCCAUUACUGACGCUGAGGAGCGAAAGCGUGGGGAGCGAACAGGAUUAGAUACCCUGGUAGUCCACGCCGUAAACGUUGGGAACUAGGUGUUGGCGACAUUCCACGUCGUCNGUGCCGCAGCUAACGCAUUAAGUUCCCCGCCUGGGGAGUANGNCGCAAGGCUAAACUCAAAGGAAUUGANGGGGGCCCGCACAAGCAGCGGAGCAUGUNGCUUAUUCGACGCAACGCGANAACCUUACCAAGCUUGAC